This is a long non-coding RNA of Gasterosteus aculeatus aculeatus (three-spined stickleback), 4381 nucleotides long. The record is from Ensembl. NCBI's taxonomy places the organism in Eukaryota, Metazoa, Chordata, Actinopteri, Perciformes, Gasterosteidae.
AAUAUUGUCAUGCUUUUUUGUUCAUAUGAUAAUGCUAAAUGUAGCAAAACUGCGCAGGAUUUUAGAACGUGCGACAUUUUACAAACGGCGCCCCAUACACUGGCACUUAUCAUGGGUAUCGGAUUUGAAUCGUGUGGCAAAUCACCCAGUACAAAGCUGAUUCCUGUGCAGACAUCUUUUAUUUUCCCGCUCGGACGUUAGGACUUGGAUAAAGGAAGCAUGCCGCAACUGGGUUGCAUAAUAAAUAUAUGCAGCAAUGCUGACACUUUAAAUUGCUACUUCCACCUUUUUCACCCAUUUUUCAAACAUUUUCCCCUUAUCUUCAGGCAGGAACUGCCAUCCCACUGAACAAUCCUUCUCAAUAGGCUCCCUACGGUCCUCUAUUUGGGGCCUUCCAUGUCUCCUUUGUGUGCUGAAAUGAGUGCCCUACAUUUGGAAAUGCCACAUCAGGUCUAUUGUUGUUUGUCAAAUCAAUUUGAGAAUUUGGUGAAAGCCGGCCCUCUCCCAAAGACUUCUUCUGCCUCAUUGAGCUCCGUCGGUGUGAGUGUUAAAACACAGGCUCUUUGGAGGGAGGAAUUCCGUGUUCCGGAUUUUGUCUCUAGUUCAGUUCCUUCGAAAAGGGACUGUUGGUGUUUUACUGUGCUCUGACAGGAAGAGAAGACUUCGCGCACAGCACAUUCUGCACAAAAGGACACAUCGGUUCACAGUUCCGGUUCCUAAAUUCUGAUUCCAAAGAAGUGAUUCAGAACUUAAAAUAUAAAUUUUGCUCACCUGUUUAUAAACGCCUAAGCUAACACGUGUAGCGGUAUCUAUUGCCAAAAGCAUUAUGUUGACCACUUACUGACAGGCUGUCACGUCGUAUUUGGUAGCAAUCGAUUACUUUUGAUUUCCACCACUCGUUGGUGGCCCCAGGCCCACAAUGGAGGGUUCAACACACCCAGGGCAUUAUUAUUUCAAUUUCAAGAAAAUCCAAUUGACAUAAAAGCACUCGCUCAGUUUGUGUGGUUUAUAAUAAUUACAUUAGCACUGUUAACAACAUAUUGUUUUCUAGAGGAAGUGUGCUUGUUGGUUACGUUUCGUUAAUAAACUUCUCUUCCUCUUGAGUUACGUGGCCAUUGAAUUGUCCUCUGACAGGUGAAGAGCCUUGAUCCAGGAGCGAUAUCAAGAGCUCUGACACCAUGGGGGGAUCCAGGUGUUUUUUUGGUACCUGUUAGUUCUCUCAGUGUGCACAUAUCUAGAGUCAGUAAAGGAAGCUAGCACUAGCUAUUAUACAAACCUAAUUUCAUCCUCGAUGAAAAAUCCUAAAAUUUAGUUUGCCAAUUUAACUGUUUCACCAUCUGUUAUUGCACAAAUAGAAAAGUGUGGAAAUAAUUUAGUUCUGAAAACCGAGCCUUCUACAGCCUGUGAAACACAACAUGUCAUCUGUGCAGAUUAAAUAUUGAGUACGAUUUAACCUCAUUUAAGAGGGGGUUAGUCAUGAGUAAAACGUCUAGGAUUGUGUACAUUAUAUCUACAGUCGACGCACACACAUAGCAAAGCUUUCUUUACUAUCUACUGCACACGCUCUUUGUAUUCCGUAAGCGCUGAUAUUAAAAAGCUUUUCAAACCCUACUACAGCUCUCUCCAAGUUAUCUUCAUCUCUUUUUCAUGCUCUCCUUUUCUCCACUUUUAAUCUCAAAUUGUUCUCUCUCUCUCUCUCACUCAUCUCCCUUGCCGUGCUCCCUCUGUUUCUCCACGAGAUGCCUUUCACUCUCAUAUACACAAUCACACAGAGAAAUUUGGAUUUCCAGCUUUUUUCAAAUGCUGAAUUAUUAAGAGAGACCAUUUUAAGCAGUUUCUCUUCAUCGCUGCCAAAACACAAUCUGCAUUUCAACUGUGAGAAGAGUAGCGCGUGUGAGCCGGCAAAGAAAAAAACAGGGAAAAGAAAUUAGGGCAGUGAUUUGAAAUUCUAUUUAUGCAUAAAAAGAAAGUUGAAAACAUUGUUAACAGACAUAAAUCAUUCUAAGUGUGUGUUUUUUUUUUUUUUUGCUGGGUGGCAUCACUAAGUAAGUUUGACAGCGCGUUAGCAUUUGUGCAUUUUCAUGUGAGUUUAUUGCUGUGGCCGCCCGUAUGAUGUGUACACAAUAUGUCUCCCACUGCACAUGGGUCCUUUUGUUGUGACUGCAAAUUGAUUUUGCCUGCCUUUUGUUUAUUUGUUUCAAGCAUUAGCCUGCCAAGAGGGUCCCAGGACCCUCUUCAAAUUACGCCAGAUUUAUUUUGUGGCAUUUCACAACUGGACACAACUUUGUUCAUUCUCUAGCAAAGUCAAUCACCUCGAACUAAUUUUAUGGUGCAAAACACAUUGAAAGCCCAUUUCCUCAAUAGAUAUAGUCUCUCAUCGUUGCGUUGAUGUAAUUGCAGUGCAUAUGCCCAGUUGCAAAGCAAUCUCAUGACUUUCUGUUUCCUUCUGUACAAAACUGUGCACUCUACAUCACAUCGAUGAGGGAAGAUUAACAUAUACUUUGUAUAUACAUUUGUAGUCAAAGGUUUGGACGCAUUUUCUCAUCCAAUUCAGUGCAAACUUUUGUGUGAUGUGUUCCUGCUCUAUUUUUCUUGUUUUUUAUUUUUUUUUCGAUCCGGUUACUUCCGCUGCAGCUUUGACCCACUUUCCUCAUAAAUCAAGCUUGUGUUAGUUAUGGCAGGCACUUAAGUUGUGUGCACCGCAUGAGCUGACCGUGAGCCGAUCUAAGCAACCUGCAAUAAUGUUUGGCAUCUUAACAUCGUGUCCUGCUGUAAGCAGCCGUUACUAUAUUCUGCUGAAUACGUACAGUGAGCUCAGGAUCUGUACUGCUAAACAUCUUUAUAAAAUAUUGAACUUGAUGCUGACUACUACUUACAGAAGGAUCAUUAUGUUUUUCUCAUCUUUUCUGAUAUAAAUGUUUUCUCACUCAAGGCAACAUACUCACAACCCGUAAAAUUUGGUGCGUUGCAUUUUACUGAACGCACUCCAUAAAAAGUGUCUUGUUUUUGACACAAACACACACAAAAUAACCUAAAUCUGUGAAUCAUGGUUUGGGAUAUAAAAGAGAGCUUAAAAUGGCUAUCACACAGAACAGGCAUGUUUAUCCCAUUAUAUUAUCCCUUACAGCUCACCCUUAACCCGGUUCACUGCCCCCUCAAAAACCUUUUUUUGGAAUGCAUAGAUCCUUAGAAAUGGCAACCUUGGCGAUAGGACGGCUUUCAUGCGGGGAUGUUGGUGGGUUAAAGACACUGAUUACCCUGAUCGCUUUAGAAACAAUUAAGCUAUUAGAAGAUAUUUUGGAACCUACAAGGAGCCCUAUAAAUGAUUUGGAAGCUGCAUUAUAUAAUAUAUUAGAUGAAGCCAACUAACCUUCACUAUAUAUAUAUAUAUAUAUAUGCACAGUAUAUUACACUUCAUUGGAGUUCAACCAAUUAAGCAGUGUGGCCCGAUAAAGUCUCCAUUUCAACAUUAACAAGUCGUGGUGAUCUUGUGUUUUUUGCUAUUAAUGCUGCUAGCGUUGGCUGGUCCACAGGAUGAUGCAUUGUGGGAGUAUUGAUGAAGUGAGUUAAAGCGGUUAUAAAAGUACAACGUCGGUCCGAUAAUGGCAACUGCUGUUUGUCGCCUUCUUCGAAACGGCAAUGCAGCUUAGCUUACUUUGUUUACCUGAAGGCCCAUCUGCUCUGAUGAUCCACUUCAGUCGCUGGUUAUUCUGUGUGCGUAGAUUUAAAUGACAAACCCGGAAGGCCCACGUGUAGAGCAAAUGGUCAAACUGUACAGCUGUUGAUCAGAGAGCAUAAAACGUUUGGCGUAAUAAAACGCAUAAAACGUUUGGCGUUGCUGCUUUUUGCAUUAUGUGUAGUUAAGUUAUACUUCAUUAUCAAUGAAGAAGCUGUUUAGGUUUGUAUUGAUAUUACAAUUAAUGACAUUGUGACAUCACAAGUAAUUGUACUGUUUAAACAGCUGAUAUGAAGACUUUAAUCAAUUUCAUAUAAAAAGGUGAAUAACAUAGUCCAUUUAAUCAUCUAAACUAUGAAAGUGUAAUUUUUACAGAUAUUAAACAAUAUUUACAGUGUUUUACCUAGAUAAUAACAGUUCUCACAAUCAAUGCUGAUACAGUGGUUAAUGACCUACUGUAUAUAAAAUAAGUAAAUACCUAGAUUGUCAAUUCAUCCCCGGUCCAUGUAUUGUUAACAUUUUUAAUUGUGCUUGUUAUUCACGCUAGAACUGCUGCUCACUCUGCGUAUAUAGAGAGCGAAUUCAGGCACAUUCAGUAUGAGGACAGUAAAUUUAACUGUGUGUAAACAUGCUCUGGUUGAAACUCAAAAUACAGGUAUAAACCUAAAAAGGCUGUAAUAUAUAUGCUGUAAUAUAUAUAUAUAU